RNAcentral lists this ribosomal RNA (662 nucleotides) under uncultured bacterium. RNAcentral describes it as "bacterial SSU rRNA". It matches the Rfam family "Bacterial small subunit ribosomal RNA", at positions 141 to 789 of the family's 1533-position model. The record is from RNAcentral.
AGAUAACACUUGGAAACAGGUGCUAAUACCGCAUAACCAUGAACACCGCAUGAUGUUCAUGUAAAAGACGGCUUUUGCUGUCACUUUUGGAUGGGCCUGCGGCGUAUUAACUUGUUGGUGGGGUAACGGCCUACCAAGGUGAUGAUACGUAGCCGAACUGAGAGGUUGAUCGGCCACAUUGGGACUGAGACACGGCCCAAACUCCUACGGGAGGCAGCAGUAGGGAAUCUUCCACAAUGGACGAAAGUCUGAUGGAGCAACGCCGCGUGAAUGAAGAAGGCCUUCGGGUCGUAAAAUUCUGUUGUCAGAGAAGAACGUGCGUGAGAGUAACUGUUCACGUAUUGACGGUAUCUGACCAGAAAGCCACGGCUAACUACGUGCCAGCAGCCGCGGUAAUACGUAGGUGGCGAGCGUUGUCCGGAUUUAUUGGGCGUAAAGGGAACGCAGGCGGUCUUUUAAGUCUGAUGUGAAAGCCUUCGGCUUAACCGAAGUAGUGCAUUGGAAACUGGAAGACUUGAGUGCAGAAGAGGAGAGUGGAACUCCAUGUGUAGCGGUGAAAUGCGUAGAUAUAUGGAAGAACACCAGUGGCGAAAGCGGCUCUCUGGUCUGUAACUGACGCUGAGGUUCGAAAGCGUGGGUAGCAAACAGGAUUAGAUACCCUG